RNAcentral lists this ribosomal RNA (730 nucleotides) under uncultured eukaryote. RNAcentral's name for it is "SSU rRNA". It matches the Rfam family "Eukaryotic small subunit ribosomal RNA", at positions 669 to 1426 of the family's 1831-position model. The record is from RNAcentral.
CGGGUGCACUGAUCCGGCCGGGCCUUUCCCUCUGUGGAACCCCCAUGGCCUUCACUGGCUGUGCGGGGGAAACAGGACUUUUACUGUGAAAAAAUUAGAGUGCUCCAGGCAGGCCUAUGCUCGAAUACAUUAGCAUGGAAUAAUAGAAUAGGACGCGUGGUUCUAUUUUGUUGGUUUCUAGGACCGCCGUAAUGAUUAAUAGGGACAGUCGGGGGCAUCAGUAUUCAAUUGUCAGAGGUGAAAUUCUUGGAUCUAUUGAAGACUAACUACUGCGAAAGCAUUUGUCAAGGAUGUUUUCAUUGAUAAGGAACGAAAGUUAGGGGAUCGAAGACGAUCAGAUACCGUCGUAGUCUUAACUAUAAACUAUGCCGACUAGGGAUCGGACGAUGUUAUUUCUUGACGCGUUCGGCACCUUUCGAGAAAUCAAAGUGCUUGGGCUCCAGGGGGAGUAUGGUCGCAAGGCUGAAACUUAAAGAAAUUGACGGAAGGGCACCACCAGGGGUGGAACCUGCGGCUUAAUUUGACUCAACACGGGGAAACUCACCAGGUCCAGACACAGUGAGGAUUGACAGAUUGAGAGCUCUUUCUUGAUUCUGUGGGUGGUGGUGCAUGGCCGUUCUUAGUUGGUGGAGUGAUUUGUCUGCUUAAUUGCGAUAACGAACGAGACCUUAACCUGCUAAAUAGCCCGUACUGCUCUGGCAGUUCGCCGGCUUCUUAGAGGGACUAUCGG